AAAGGGGCACGCAUUCGGUUGUUUAAGUGAGGUGUGAAAGCCCCGGGCCUACCCUGGGAAUUGCAUUUCACACUAAACAACUCGAGUACUUUAGUCUGGGGUACAAUUCCACGUGUAGCGGUGAAAUGCGUAGAGAUGUGGCGGAAUACCGCCUGCGAGCCCCUUGGGUGUACUGACGCUCAUGUGCGAAAGCGUGGGGAGCAAACAGGAUUAGAUACCUGGUGGUCCAACCACUAUGUUGCUGUCUGGACUCCCUAUGGCGUACUU
RNAcentral lists this ribosomal RNA (267 nucleotides) under Mannheimia haemolytica. RNAcentral describes it as "partial 16S ribosomal RNA". It matches the Rfam family "Bacterial small subunit ribosomal RNA", at positions 562 to 837 of the family's 1533-position model. The record is from RNAcentral. Lineage: Bacteria; Pseudomonadati; Pseudomonadota; Gammaproteobacteria; Pasteurellales; Pasteurellaceae.